RNAcentral lists this transfer RNA (74 nucleotides) under Chloroflexota bacterium. RNAcentral describes it as "Chloroflexi bacterium tRNA-Phe". It matches the Rfam family "tRNA". Rfam says of the family: Transfer RNA (tRNA) molecules are approximately 80 nucleotides in length. Their secondary structure includes four short double-helical elements and three loops (D, anti-codon, and T loops). Lineage: Bacteria; Bacillati; Chloroflexota. The record is from RNAcentral.
GCAAAGGGGUAGCUCAACGGUAGAGCAGGAGCCAAAAGGCUGACCGGUAGCGGGUUCGACUCCCGCCCCCUGCG